RNAcentral lists this long non-coding RNA (956 nucleotides) under Monodelphis domestica (gray short-tailed opossum). RNAcentral's name for it is "lncRNA (ENSMODG00000042201.1)". The record is from RNAcentral. Lineage: Eukaryota; Metazoa; Chordata; Mammalia; Didelphimorphia; Didelphidae.
CCUGUGUUGGGAGGGGAAGUUCCUCUCUGCAGGUCUUGCCGAUGAUGCCAUUGAAGGCUCAGUUUACAAAAAAAAAAAAAAAAGCCCUGUCAAUGGGUUGCUCCUUUCCUGGAGCUCAUGAUAAUUAGAUUUGGUUUGCAGGGAAAGGAGUUGUCAUUCUGGCUCCCAUGCUUUUGCCAUAGGAGUUUCUGACACAUGGGCACUAAAUAAAUGAUUGAUCCAUUGUCUUUGGGCAUACUGGUCAACCUCUUGAUUUUUAGUUUCUUGAGUUUCUUUUUCUAUAAAAUAAGGAUAAGAAUAGCUCUUACUUCACAAGGCUAGUGUAUGGACAACAUGAGAUAAUGUAUAUAUUCAAAUUUUGAAAUUACUCAGGCAAACUGGCUAAUUAUUGAGGCAUCUGCAAUUGGCAUGCUGGGUCAAAGCAAACAGCAUUUUGAAAGAAAGGGGAGUGUACUUCAAAACAGGGUCUCUACAACAGCAAUACUGACUGAAUAAUAGCUGCCAGAGAUGGAAAACCACCAUUUUGGAAGAAACAACAUUACAAAGAAUAUAAAGGGCAAUGGAAAGAUACAUAGAAGGGAGGAAAAAAAAUUAAAGACAACAAAGAUGGGAAGAACAUUGAGACUGGACCAAAUAUAGAUAUGGAAGAGAACCAUAUUGGAGACAAUACAAUUGUGAAGGCUGAUUUUCAAGGUAAUUAAAGAAGGGGAAGGUUCCAAAGGAAUGGGAAAAUCUUAUAUUCCUUAUUGAUACCACAAAUAUGAUGGAAAGAACAUAAGCAUCUCCUAACAUAUAGUUAGUCUCCAUUUUAUAUAAAAACUUCAUGAGGGUCAUUUUUUCAUAAAUGAAGAGCAUCUUCAUUAAGGCUAUUCAUAGGGAACAAUCAGGCUUUGUCAAGCAAUAUUCAAUGAGUCACUACAUUACCAUGUCACAAUUGACUAAAAUAUAUAGAUGAU